CCCUUCUUGUCUUGCUACUCAUCCAUCUCAACAUCCUCAUCUUAGCUACACUCAUUCUAUGGGUAUGUUAUUCCUUGACCGCCCAGCAUUCUGCCCCAUAAAGUAAUGUUGAUCUCGCAACUGUUAUAGAACUUGCCCUUUAGCUUCAUUCGUAUGCGGCGAUCGCAUAAAACUCUGUUGCACAUCUCCACUUCGCUCACCCAACAAUUUAUAAAUUCAUGUGGGCAAAAAUUCAACUCUAUAAUCCUAGCCCAACCUAGUGGUUGUAGAUUAGGAUUUCUC
This 282-nucleotide long non-coding RNA is filed under the name Amborella trichopoda. RNAcentral's name for it is "long non-coding RNA (ATRI_LNC001425)". Lineage: Eukaryota; Viridiplantae; Streptophyta; Magnoliopsida; Amborellales; Amborellaceae. The record is from RNAcentral.